GUGCGAUGACUAUAAAGGGUCCUGAGUGCACUUCGUAUGUCAUGAGUGCAAUCAGGAGGUCCUUCAAGCGGUGUUUAGACGUACCGUUAUUCUUCUGGAAGCUUCAAUUUUUUCUUAUCAAUAACUUUUACACAAGGAGACAUUUUUUUUUUUGACAGCAUGAACCCCAGUUAAUGAGCAAACACAAAUUAAGAACGAAAAUCGUUUACAAUUAAAUUUUAU
This 222-nucleotide long non-coding RNA is filed under the name Mytilus galloprovincialis (Mediterranean mussel). The record is from RNAcentral. Lineage: Eukaryota; Metazoa; Mollusca; Bivalvia; Mytilida; Mytilidae.